GAAAUGCGAUAAGUAGUGUGAAUUGCAGAAUUCAGUGAAUCAUCGAAUCUUUGAACGCAUAUUGCGCCCCUCGGCAUUCCGUGGGGCAUGCCUGUUCGAGCGUCAUCUACACCCUCAAGCUCUGCUUGGUGUUGGGCGUCUGUCCCGCCUCCGCGCGCGGACUCGCCCCAAAUGCAUUGGCAGCGGUUCCUUGCCCCCCUCUUUGCGCAGCACAUUGCCAUUCGAGGCGGCGGCGGCCCGCGUCCAACAAGCUCAACCCCCCCGUCUUUGACCUCGGAUCAGGUAGGGAUACCCGCUGAACUUAAGC
This 307-nucleotide unclassified non-coding RNA is filed under the name plant metagenome. RNAcentral describes it as "partial contains 5.8S ribosomal RNA, internal transcribed spacer 2, and large subunit ribosomal RNA". The stretch from base 1 to 105 matches the Rfam family "5.8S ribosomal RNA", at positions 50 to 154 of the family's 154-position model. The record is from RNAcentral.